Molecule: ribosomal RNA, 292 nt
Filed under: uncultured bacterium
Lineage: Bacteria
Description: partial 16S ribosomal RNA
Source: RNAcentral
GGACUACUGGGGUAUCUAAUCCUGUUUGCUCCCCACGCUUUCGUGCCUCAGUGUCAGUAUCUGUCCAGAAGGCCGCCUUCGCCACUGGUGUUCCUUCCGAUCUCUACGCAUUUCACCGCUACACCGGAAAUUCCACCUUCCUCUACAGUACUCUAGCGAGACAGUAUUAAGCGCAAUCCCCAGGUUGAGCCCGGGACUUUCACACCUAACUUACCUCACCACCUACGCACCCUUUACGCCCAGUAAUUCCGAUUAACGCUUGCACCCUCUGUAUUACCGCGGCUGCUGGCAC